UACGAAGGGGGCUAGCGUUGUUCGGAAUUACUGGGCGUAAAGCGUGCGCAGGCGGCUGCUCAAGUCAGGGGUGAAAGCCCAGAGCUCAACUCUGGAAUUGCCUUUGAGACUGAGUGGCUUGAGUACGGGAGAGGUGAGUGGAAUUCCCAGUGUAGAGGUGAAAUUCGUAGAUAUUGGGAAGAACACCGGUGGCGAAGGCGGCUCACUGGCCCGUAACUGACGCUCAUGCACGACAGCGUGGGGAUCGAACAGG
RNAcentral lists this ribosomal RNA (253 nucleotides) under uncultured bacterium. RNAcentral's name for it is "partial 16S ribosomal RNA". It matches the Rfam family "Bacterial small subunit ribosomal RNA", at positions 524 to 776 of the family's 1533-position model. The record is from RNAcentral.